Molecule: ribosomal RNA, 2252 nt
Filed under: Escherichia coli
Lineage: Bacteria; Pseudomonadati; Pseudomonadota; Gammaproteobacteria; Enterobacterales; Enterobacteriaceae
Description: partial 23S ribosomal RNA
Rfam family: Bacterial large subunit ribosomal RNA
Source: RNAcentral
GGGACACGUGGUAUCCUGUCUGAAUAUGGGGGGACCAUCCUCCAAGGCUAAAUACUCCUGACUGACCGAUAGUGAACCAGUACCGUGAGGGAAAGGCGAAAAGAACCCCGGCGAGGGGAGUGAAAAAGAACCUGAAACCGUGUACGUACAAGCAGUGGGAGCACGCUUAGGCGUGUGACUGCGUACCUUUUGUAUAAUGGGUCAGCGACUUAUAUUCUGUAGCAAGGUUAACCGAAUAGGGGAGCCGAAGGGAAACCGAGUCUUAACUGGGCGUUAAGUUGCAGGGUAUAGACCCGAAACCCGGUGAUCUAGCCAUGGGCAGGUUGAAGGUUGGGUAACACUAACUGGAGGACCGAACCGACUAAUGUUGAAAAAUUAGCGGAUGACUUGUGGCUGGGGGUGAAAGGCCAAUCAAACCGGGAGAUAGCUGGUUCUCCCCGAAAGCUAUUUAGGUAGCGCCUCGUGAAUUCAUCUCCGGGGGUAGAGCACUGUUUCGGCAAGGGGGUCAUCCCGACUUACCAACCCGAUGCAAACUGCGAAUACCGGAGAAUGUUAUCACGGGAGACACACGGCGGGUGCUAACGUCCGUCGUGAAGAGGGAAACAACCCAGACCGCCAGCUAAGGUCCCAAAGUCAUGGUUAAGUGGGAAACGAUGUGGGAAGGCCCAGACAGCCAGGAUGUUGGCUUAGAAGCAGCCAUCAUUUAAAGAAAGCGUAAUAGCUCACUGGUCGAGUCGGCCUGCGCGGAAGAUGUAACGGGGCUAAACCAUGCACCGAAGCUGCGGCAGCGACGCUUAUGCGUUGUUGGGUAGGGGAGCGUUCUGUAAGCCUGUGAAGGUGUGCUGUGAGGCAUGCUGGAGGUAUCAGAAGUGCGAAUGCUGACAUAAGUAACGAUAAAGCGGGUGAAAAGCCCGCUCGCCGGAAGACCAAGGGUUCCUGUCCAACGUUAAUCGGGGCAGGGUGAGUCGACCCCUAAGGCGAGGCCGAAAGGCGUAGUCGAUGGGAAACAGGUUAAUAUUCCUGUACUUGGUGUUACUGCGAAGGGGGGACGGAGAAGGCUAUGUUGGCCGGGCGACGGUUGUCCCGGUUUAAGCGUGUAGGCUGGUUUUCCAGGCAAAUCCGGAAAAUCAAGGCUGAGGCGUGAUGACGAGGCACUACGGUGCUGAAGCAACAAAUGCCCUGCUUCCAGGAAAAGCCUCUAAGCAUCAGGUAACAUCAAAUCGUACCCCAAACCGACACAGGUGGUCAGGUAGAGAAUACCAAGGCGCUUGAGAGAACUCGGGUGAAGGAACUAGGCAAAAUGGUGCCGUAACUUCGGGAGAAGGCACGCUGAUAUGUAGGUGAAGCGACUUGCUCGUGGAGCUGAAAUCAGUCGAAGAUACCAGCUGGCUGCAACUGUUUAUUAAAAACACAGCACUGUGCAAACACGAAAGUGGACGUAUACGGUGUGACGCCUGCCCGGUGCCGGAAGGUUAAUUGAUGGGGUCAGCGCAAGCGAAGCUCUUGAUCGAAGCCCCGGUAAACGGCGGCCGUAACUAUAACGGUCCUAAGGUAGCGAAAUUCCUUGUCGGGUAAGUUCCGACCUGCACGAAUGGCGUAAUGAUGGCCAGGCUGUCUCCACCCGAGACUCAGUGAAAUUGAACUCGCUGUGAAGAUGCAGUGUACCCGCGGCAAGACGGAAAGACCCCGUGAACCUUUACUAUAGCUUGACACUGAACAUUGAGCCUUGAUGUGUAGGAUAGGUGGGAGGCUUAGAAGUGUGGACGCCAGUCUGCAUGGAGCCGACCUUGAAAUACCACCCUUUAAUGUUUGAUGUUCUAACGUUGACCCGUAAUCCGGGUUGCGGACAGUGUCUGGUGGGUAGUUUGACUGGGGCGGUCUCCUCCUAAAGAGUAACGGAGGAGCACGAAGGUUGGCUAAUCCUGGUCGGACAUCAGGAGGUUAGUGCAAUGGCAUAAGCCAGCUUGACUGCGAGCGUGACGGCGCGAGCAGGUGCGAAAGCAGGUCAUAGUGAUCCGGUGGUUCUGAAUGGAAGGGCCAUCGCUCAACGGAUAAAAGGUACUCCGGGGAUAACAGGCUGAUACCGCCCAAGAGUUCAUAUCGACGGCGGUGUUUGGCACCUCGAUGUCGGCUCAUCACAUCCUGGGGCUGAAGUAGGUCCCAAGGGUAUGGCUGUUCGCCAUUUAAAGUGGUACGCGAGCUGGGUUUAGAACGUCGUGAGACAGUUCGGUCCCUAUCUGCCGUGGGCGCUG